CAGUAGCCGCGGUAAUACGAAGGGUGCAAGCGUUACUCGGAAUUACUGGGCGUAAAGCGUGCGUAGGUGGUGGUUUAAGUCCGUUGUGAAAGCCCUGGGCUCAACCUGGGAAUUGAAGUGGAUACUGGGUCACUAGAGUGUGGUAGAGGAUAGUGGAAUUUCCGGUGUAGCAGUGAAAUGCGUAGAGAUCGGAAGGAACAUCUGUGGCGAAGGCGACUAUCUGGGCCAACACUGACACUGAGGCACGAAAGCGUGGGGAGCAAACAGGAUUAGAUACCCCUGUAGUCCCUGUCUCUUAUAC
This 301-nucleotide ribosomal RNA is filed under the name uncultured bacterium. RNAcentral's name for it is "partial 16S ribosomal RNA". It matches the Rfam family "Bacterial small subunit ribosomal RNA", at positions 509 to 807 of the family's 1533-position model. The record is from RNAcentral.